This is a long non-coding RNA of Balaenoptera ricei (Rice's whale), 403 nucleotides long. RefSeq lists it as uncharacterized. The transcript has 2 exons. The record is from RefSeq and is a predicted model, not a curated record. Lineage: Eukaryota; Metazoa; Chordata; Mammalia; Artiodactyla; Balaenopteridae.
UGCAAUUUAUAGGCCGUUAACUGGCCAGUAGUUUUCCAGAGGUGGUUUGUAGACAGUGGUGAGUAAAGAAAGACCCAGAGACUGAUUCUCCUCACAUUCUGUAGGGUAUCCAUCUGCCCUGUUAGAAGGCUGCAGGGCAUCAGGCAUUUGGGGACCCCAAGCAGACCUGGCAAUCCUUUCUUCCUAUUCCUUCCACAUGGGCACUCUGGCCAGGAAAGCAGGUGCAGGACGACGUGAAAGCAGCCCUGGAGGUCUCAUGGUGAAGACGGUCGUGUCACAAGAUGGGAGGAACCUGGAUCCCUGAGUCAGAGAAGAGGUGCCCAGGAGAGCCACCCAACCAAGAACACCUACACUGAACUUUGCAUGAGUAAAAAAAUAAUUUGUGUGUGUGUUAAGCGUCAGA